Molecule: regulatory RNA element, 47 nt
Rfam family: chrB-b RNA
Source: Rfam
CCGGGUAGUGCGGGAUCCCGGUCAGACGGCUGUCGUCCAAGUCCCGC